GCGGACAUGGCGGAAUUGGUAGACGCGCUAGAUUCAGGAUCUAGUGAGGGAAUCUCCUCGUGGGAGUUCGAAUCUCCCCUUCGGCACCA
This 89-nucleotide transfer RNA is filed under the name Thermodesulfobacteriaceae bacterium. RNAcentral's name for it is "tRNA-Leu". It matches the Rfam family "tRNA". Rfam says of the family: Transfer RNA (tRNA) molecules are approximately 80 nucleotides in length. Their secondary structure includes four short double-helical elements and three loops (D, anti-codon, and T loops). Lineage: Bacteria; Pseudomonadati; Thermodesulfobacteriota; Thermodesulfobacteria; Thermodesulfobacteriales; Thermodesulfobacteriaceae. The record is from RNAcentral.